AGUUGUUUGGGAAUGCAGCUCAAAAUGGGUGGUAAAUGCCAUCUAAGGCUAAAUAUUGGGGAGAGACCGAUAGCGAACAAGUACAGUGAUGGAAAGAUGAAAAGAACUUUGAAAAGAGAGUUAAACAGUACGUGAAAUUGCCAAAAGGGAAGGGUAGGAGGUCAGAGAUGCGGCCUGGGAUUCAGCCUUGCUUUUGCUUGGUGUUUUUCCCAGAUUGCAGGCCAACGUCGGUUUUGGGCACUGGAGAAGGGUAGGAGGAACGUGGCACCUCUCGGGGUGUGUUAUAGCCUCCUNCUGNAUACAGCGACCGAGACCGAGGACAGCAGCGUACUCG
Molecule: ribosomal RNA, 334 nt
Filed under: Moesziomyces rugulosus
Lineage: Eukaryota; Fungi; Basidiomycota; Ustilaginomycetes; Ustilaginales; Ustilaginaceae
Description: eukaryotic LSU rRNA
Rfam family: Eukaryotic large subunit ribosomal RNA
Source: RNAcentral